UACGUAGGGUGCAAGCGUUAAUCGGAAUUACUGGGCGUAAAGCGUGCGCAGGCGGCUUUGCAAGACAGAUGUGAAAUCCCCGGGCUUAACCUGGGAACUGCAUUUGUGACUGCAUGGCUGGAGUGUGGCAGAGGGGGAUGGAAUUCCGCGUGUAGCAGUGAAAUGCGUAGAUAUGCGGAGGAACACCGAUGGCGAAGGCAAUCCCCUGGGCCUGCACUGACGCUCAUGCACGGAAGCGUGGGGAGCAAACAGG
RNAcentral lists this ribosomal RNA (253 nucleotides) under uncultured bacterium. RNAcentral describes it as "partial 16S ribosomal RNA". It matches the Rfam family "Bacterial small subunit ribosomal RNA", at positions 524 to 776 of the family's 1533-position model. The record is from RNAcentral.